CUUGACACUGAACAUUGAGCCUUGAUGUGUAGGAUAGGUGGGAGGCUUUGAAGUGUGGACGCCAGUCUGCAUGGAGCCGACCUUGAAAUACCACCCUUUAAUGUUUGAUGUUCUAACGUUGACCCGUAAUCCGGGUUGCGGACAGUGUCUGGUGGGUAGUUUGACUGGGGCGGUCUCCUCCUAAAGAGUAACGGAGGAGCACGAAGGUUGGCUAAUCCUGGUCGGACAUCAGGAGGUUAGUGCAAUGGCAUAAGCCAGCUUGACUGCGAGCGUGACGGCGCGAGCAGGUGCGAAAGCAGGUCAUAGUGAUCCGGUGGUUCUGAAUGGAAGGGCCAUCGCUCAACGGAUAAAAGGUACUCCGGGGAUAACAGGCUGAUACCGCCCAAGAGUUCAUAUCGACGGCGGUGUUUGGCACCUCGAUGUCGGCUCAUCACAUCCUGGGGCUGAAGUAGGUCCCAAGGGUAUGGCUGUUCGCCAUUUAAAGUGGUACGCGAGCUGGGUUUAGAACGUCGUGAGACAGUUCGGUCCCUAUCUGCCGUGGGCGCUGGAGAACUGAGGGGGGCUGCUCCUAGUACGAGAGGACCGGAGUGGACGCAUCACUGGUGUUCGGGUUGUCAUGCCAAUGGCACUGCCCGGUAGCUAAAUGCGGAAGAGAUAAGUGCUGAAAGCAUCUAAGCACGAAACUUGCCCCGAGAUGAGUUCUCCCUGACUCCUUGAGAGUCCUGAAGGAACGUUGAAGACGACGACGUUGAUAGGCCGGGUGUGUAAGCGCAGCGAUGCGUUGAGCUAACCGGUACUAAUGAACCGUGAGGCUUAACCUUACAACGCCGAAGGUGUUU
RNAcentral lists this ribosomal RNA (839 nucleotides) under Escherichia coli. RNAcentral's name for it is "partial 23S ribosomal RNA". It matches the Rfam family "Bacterial large subunit ribosomal RNA", at positions 2110 to 2925 of the family's 2925-position model. Lineage: Bacteria; Pseudomonadati; Pseudomonadota; Gammaproteobacteria; Enterobacterales; Enterobacteriaceae. The record is from RNAcentral.